This 2053-nucleotide long non-coding RNA is filed under the name Diabrotica virgifera virgifera (western corn rootworm). Its description in RNAcentral is "uncharacterized LOC126891849". The record is from RNAcentral. Lineage: Eukaryota; Metazoa; Arthropoda; Insecta; Coleoptera; Chrysomelidae.
GCAUUUCAAAGAAACGAGUUGUACGCGUUCUACGACAGAAGUUGAGUGUAUCGUGAAAAAAAGUGUAAACACUGUUUAUUUUUUUACCAAGAGGAGUAAACUAAGAAGACAGAUUCACAUCCAAGAAAAGUCACCAAAUUCAUCUUCUUUUUUCGUUGAUUAUGUCGGCUUUACGGUAAUUCAGUAAUCACAAUCGGAGAACCUCGCACGUCGAUUGUCACAAGUAUGCAAGCCAAGAAAGAGAGUAAAUAAGAAGAACACGUCGAUUCUAACCUCAACUUGUUGUUGGUUUGUUUGAAUAAUUUUUUCCAAUUUAUGUACUUCCAAUAUGUAGGUAUAUAUUUCUUUUGUUUUUCAAAUUACAAUAAAAAAUGUUGGAUUGGUAUGAAGAAGUUGAAGAAUUUUUAGAGUUUAUUUCUUAUAUUGUAGAAGAAAAUCGCCCGGAAAGUAUACGAAAGCCAUGUGAUAAAAUUAUAUCAAAUCCAAUGGAAUUUUACAAUAUUGAAUUUCAUCAGCUGCAAUAACUUAAACAACAAAGAUUUUAUGCUACUUUAUAGGAAUAUAACCAGUUUUUAUGAAGUUGCCCAUUUCAAAUUACAGCUCUUUCAUGUUCUAGAAGCGAGAUUAUGAAUGUUGUUGGUUGUUGGUGAACAACAAGGUCAAGUUAUGUUGGCUUAAUAUUUGAUCUAAGUGCAUUAAGAGGUAUCAUGAGAAAGAGUGAAAUUCCAGGAUUAUUAAUUGGCAAUAGUAGAUACGCAUGCAAAUACUAUCUAUUUACUUCAGUAUUACAGCCAGGUAAUGAUCAAGAAAAUAGAUACAAUAGUGCACAUGUAAGAACAAGAAAUGUUGCCGAAAAGCUAUUUGGAACCUGGAAAAAACAGUUUCCAUGUCUUCAAAAGUUCUACAAACCGAAUUAAAUACAUACCUUGCAAUAUGUGCUACAACAGUACCUUAUAAGUUAUAAUCUGGGUGCAAGAGAAAAUCAUGAUGGUGAUGAUGAUUUUGUAGAAAAUCUUGAUUUGUCGGUAAAUGGAAAUGUUAAUGAUGUGGAACAAUGUUUAAAUUUUAGGAGGCAUUUUUAUCGACAAUAUUUUGCAUGAGAAUGAGAAUACAUUAUUGAAUACUUGUAAUAUAUUAAAUGUUUUUUUUUUAAUAUUUAAUGGGUCGUCUUUCUUUGGGAUUUUUUGCCUAUUAUUUCUCAAAUAUCAUGAUCAUUGGCUUGACAACUCUUUUUGUUUGAGUUUUGGUCCCUUCAGGAAUACUUACUUCUCCAUUCUAAUCUAUUUGAAGAUUUUGAUUUUUUGUUCUUCCAAUUUUUUAUUUUUAAAAUUUCAAUGUCUUAUCCUAUUUGUUCCUUGCCUAUAUGUAAUCUUUGGUCUUCCUCCUGUUAAUGUCCAGCUGAUAUUUCUUUGUUUAUUUUGGAAAAUAUUUCAUGUUCUUCCAUCUUUCCUCUUAUUAUGUGCUCCUAUUUUGAUGAAUGUUAGUAUAUAGAUUCUGGUAUGUCCUGUAUAGUUCAAAAUUAUAUCUUCUUCUCAAUUUCCCUUUUUUUUUCUUCUUUGUAUAUGUGUCAAGAUUCUUCUGCCUAAGUAACCAAUUGGUCGUCUUCACUUUAAGUAAGUAACCAGAUUUCAGAUUCAUAUGUAAAUACUGGAUGUAUUAAGGUUUUGUGCAAUUGACAUUUAGUUUUUCUUGUAAUAUCUUAUCUUGGUUGUUUGAUCGAGCCCUGGUAACUUUAAUUGGCUAUGAACUGUUUGUAUUGCUAUGUUAGAUGCUAUUUAGCCUGAUUUCAGUGCUUUGUUAUUGUUUAUUUUAUCUACUUGUCUACUGCUAGUCUAUUAUUGUACUUUCACUAUAUAUGUUUUGAAUUUAUAUAGUAAUCUGUCUUUCUCUUCUAUCUAUAUUCCACUAGAAUUUGUUUAUUUAUUCUGAGAAUACAUUAUUGAAUCCUUGUAUAAUGUGAGAUAUAUGUAGUUUCUUUUUUAGUUUACUUCUCAACAUGUAUUUUUUAUAUUUGAUGUUAAAAUAAAUGAGUACGAGUUUUUCUCCUUUUAAA